RNAcentral lists this ribosomal RNA (432 nucleotides) under Clostridioides difficile. RNAcentral's name for it is "bacterial LSU rRNA". It matches the Rfam family "Bacterial large subunit ribosomal RNA", at positions 864 to 1303 of the family's 2925-position model. The record is from RNAcentral. Lineage: Bacteria; Bacillati; Bacillota; Clostridia; Peptostreptococcales; Peptostreptococcaceae.
AUAGCUUUAGGGCUAGCCUCAAGGUGAGAGAUACGGAGGUAGAGCACUGAAUGUCCUAGGGGGUAUUGCACCUACCGAAGACUAUCAAACUCCGAAUGCCGUCAUCUUAUACUUGGGAGUCAGACUGUGGGUGAUAAGAUUCAUAGUCGAAAGGGCAACAGCCCAGAUCGUCAGCUAAGGUCCCUAAAUGUAAGUUAAGUGGUAAAGGAUGUGGGAUUGCACAGACAACCAGGAUGUUGGCUUAGAAGCAGCCACUCAUUCAAAGAGUGCGUAAUAGCUCACUGGUCGAGUGAUCCUGCGCCGAAGAUUUCCGGGGCUAAAACUUACUACCGAAGCUACGGCAUCAGUAAUGAUGGGUAGGGGAGCUUCCCAUACGGGUUGAAGCAUGACCGUAAGGACAUGUGGACAGUAUGGGAGUGAGAAUGUUGGCAU